Molecule: long non-coding RNA, 265 nt
Filed under: Gallus gallus (chicken)
Lineage: Eukaryota; Metazoa; Chordata; Aves; Galliformes; Phasianidae
Source: RNAcentral
CAGCUUCUUGGCCACAGUGGCAUCUUCUGUUUCAGGCUCUGUCCCGAGGUACACUGUUCCUACUCGGUGAUAGUAGGGUACCACUUUGAACUCUUCUUUUAGGCACACUGGGAUGCCAUCCAGGUAAGAUAGGGUACAUUUAUUCCUGUAACGAGCAGUGGAGGCCUCGGCCAUCAGCAUUAUUUGCUCCUGGUCCCAUUGCACUAUCGCUCUGAGUGGGGGCGUGGAUUUGUCGCAGUCCUCCAGCACGGCAAUGAUGUUCUUU